Parus major (Great Tit) is the source of this 2219-nucleotide long non-coding RNA. RefSeq lists it as uncharacterized. The transcript is spliced from 3 exons. The record is from RefSeq and is a predicted model, not a curated record. NCBI's taxonomy places the organism in Eukaryota, Metazoa, Chordata, Aves, Passeriformes, Paridae.
GGGAUGAACGCCUGCCCCUCCCACAUGCUGAAAGGUGGCAGCUGGUGCUUCCAAACCGUGGGGGAACCUCACUUCUGCUGGGGGUUUUCUCUGAAUAAAAGCAGUUUUAAGCAUGAAUCCAUCAGGCUCAAAGCAAGAACUGGAUCUGUUUGCACAUCCCUGCAUUGUGUUCUGAAUUCAAGCACACCUAUGUGAAAGCUGUAGUCUCACCCAGUCAUAGCAGUGGUGUUUUGGAUUGGUUGGGUUUGUAAUGGGUCGGGGAGCAACCUUGGCAGCACAUUCCCACUGGAGGAAAGCAAUCAUAUGGCUAAAUGCAGGAUGGCUGAUGGGAGUGAAGAUGAGUGAAAUGGAAAUUCCCGGAGCUGCAGAGAAAACAGAACUCAAACAUGUGGAAUAGCACGGCUCUGUCUUGCAAUCAGCACUGAAAUCGUGGGCCUUGUGUGAAAUACUACGUGUAAAGCUCAAGUGUGUUAGAAAAUAAAGUGCUCAUAUUUAGCAGCAGGGAAAAGUUACUGGUAUUUUGAUGUGAAGAAAAAAAGCCAAUUGAAGAUAAUAGGAUAACAAUAACUGAAGGUAUACAGGCUAAGCGUGAAGGAGAGCAAGCAAACACACUGAUUGAUCAGGGCACAGUAACCUAGUGUCAUUUCAGCUGGGUCAUGAGGUAGAGCACACUCAGCAUGUCCAUAUUCCAGGCAGAGGUAGAAGGUCAGGCUGCACCUUGCAGGGCAAUUUUCACAGCCACACCAGACAGGGAGGUGGAGGUGGGUACUGGCUGGGAUACCCUCUGGCUGGAAGGUGGGAUGGAGAGCUGGGAGAGGAUACCUGAUGGUGCCCAGCCCAGCCUGUCAAAGACCUUCGCUCUGAAGGAAGCAAUUAAUAACUUUUUUCAGAGUAGCACACCAGGCCAAAUAGAGAUGAAAAAAAAAACCAAACCAACAAAAACCCGAAACAAACUCCCACCGUGAGAGCUUUUGUCGGGGGGUCUAUCAGGAAAACCUCCGUCCCUUGUGGGCUCUUUAGAAAGGAAGCGGGGAGAUUUGCAGUGAAGACCCUUUGGCAGUAUCCAGCCAGGGUAAAUAUAAAACUGCUAAAACUCUGAUUAGUUGUUUGGGUCAAAAAGAUCAUUCUCUUCCUACAUGUCUUCCCAUCCUGUGCAGCACUGCUGUGGAAAGACCUUAUCCUAAAUACUCCAUUCUGAUAUAGCAGCAGAUGAAAAAGAAAAAACUACACUUUAUUAAAAAAAGAAGUCCUUUCAAUGAGUGACAGAUUAAUGUAGUGACACAUUAAUAUAAAUUUUAAAACCUGAACAUUAUUCACUAAGGGGAAAAGGCUCCUAAAUAUACAUGCAAAACAAAAAUGGCAGAGCAAAACCUCUGACAAUGCUUUGCACAGAAUCAUUUACUAGGUCUCUGUAAGUGAUCAUUAACAUGAAACUUGCAUUUAAUCUAGUAGCCAACCAUUCCCUUUUAUCUUCUGGCUCUGUGUGUUUGUGGAAGACAGUGGUCCCUCAGGCUGAUUUUUUCUCACUGGAGUGAAUGUACAGGUGACAUAGGUCAGAGAAGGGAAUUUAAAUAGCCCUUUUUCAAGCUCAUCUCUCUGAUUCUUGCUUAGUCCAAAUAAGGAAAACUAUCACCUCUGCUUUAGAGCUGAGAAAAUUCUUUCCAAACCAAAUAAACCCUCAGCUGUCCUGUCAGCAGUAUAGCCUUUUGGGUCAAAGCACAGGGGAGCAGUGUGUGAGCUGGAGUGGGGUCAGGGGUGCACAGAAAUAUUACCUUCAUUUCACUGUAUUGACAUGCUCUUUCUGGGAUGCUGGCAACAGCAUGUGGGCUGGCUACAGCAAUUAUUUACUUGAGCUGCUAUUGCCAAAGCACCCAAGCAAGGGAUUUCUAAACUAGCCCCAAGUAUCUGCCACACAGUGAUGUGUGGCCGUCACUGACAUGGUUGCACUAUGAACUCAGCUCAGUAUCCUGGAUUUCUGAUGAAAACUGGCAUCUAAAGCCAUCUCCUUGACCUGCUUCUAGGAGUACCUAGCUCAGGAAGGUUUGUAAACGUGAAAUUGCCUCCCCUUUUACAAGAAUGUGGCUCACUGCUUCUCUAGGCCAUGUUGACACCUCUUGACAAAUGUGGCUUGAUGGCACAAGUAUAAUAUUUACUUUGUAGGUGUACAAAACUCGGAGUGUUUUUUUUCCAUGUGUAUCCCUUUGUGAUGCAUGCCCAGC